UCGGAGACGGUGCUCGUGCGGGCGGUGAUGCGACACGCGUAUCCGAAAGACUCUCGGCAACGGAUAUCUCGGCUCUNNNNNNNNNNNNNNNNCGCAGCGAAAUGCGAUACUUGGUGUGAAUUGCAGAAUCCCGUGAACCAUCGAGUCUUUGAACGCAAGUUGCGCCCGAAGCCAUUAGGCCGAGGGCACGCCUGCCUGGGUGUCGCCCAACGUUGCCCCAUUGCCUUGGCCUUGUGCUAGGCACCGAGCUGGGCGAAUGCUGGCUUCCCGCGAGCAAUGCCUCACGGUUGGUUGAAAACUGAGUCCGUGGUGGAGGGCGCCGUGAUGGAUGGUGGUUGAG
RNAcentral lists this ribosomal RNA (340 nucleotides) under Crotalaria albicaulis. RNAcentral's name for it is "5.8S ribosomal RNA". The stretch from base 49 to 205 matches the Rfam family "5.8S ribosomal RNA". The record is from RNAcentral. Lineage: Eukaryota; Viridiplantae; Streptophyta; Magnoliopsida; Fabales; Fabaceae.